AGUGAACGCUGGCGGUAGGCCUAACACAUGCAAGUCGAACGGCAGCACAGUAAGAGCUUGCUCUUACGGGUGGCGAGUGGCGGACGGGUGAGGAAUACAUCGGAAUCUACUUUUUCGUGGGGGAUAACGUAGGGAAACUUACGCUAAUACCGCAUACGACCUACGGGUGAAAGCAGGGGAUCUUCGGACCUUGCGCGAUUGAAUGAGCCGAUGUCGGAUUAGCUAGUUGGCGGGGUAAAGGCCCACCAAGGCGACGAUCCGUAGCUGGUCUGAGAGGAUGAUCAGCCACACUGGAACUGAGACACGGUCCAGACUCCUACGGGAGGCAGCAGUGGGGAAUAUUGGACAAUGGGCGCAAGCCUGAUCCAGCCAUACCGCGUGGGUGAAGAAGGCCUUCGGGUUGUAAAGCCCUUUUGUUGGGAAAGAAAAGCAGCAGGUUAAUACCCGGCUGUUCUGACGGUACCCAAAGAAUAAGCACCGGCUAACUUCGU
Molecule: ribosomal RNA, 491 nt
Filed under: uncultured bacterium
Lineage: Bacteria
Description: partial 16S ribosomal RNA
Rfam family: Bacterial small subunit ribosomal RNA
Source: RNAcentral